GACCCAAUGGCACAACGGUUGGAGCACUUGCUUUAGUUAGUCAAGAAAGUCCACUGUUAGACAAGAGGUCCCCGUUCAAUUCGGGGUUGGGUCA
Molecule: non-coding RNA, 94 nt
Organism: Mycena alexandri
Lineage: Eukaryota; Fungi; Basidiomycota; Agaricomycetes; Agaricales; Mycenaceae
Source: the annotation of a GenBank genome assembly